RNAcentral lists this ribosomal RNA (239 nucleotides) under uncultured Pseudomonadota bacterium. RNAcentral describes it as "uncultured proteobacterium partial 16S ribosomal RNA". It matches the Rfam family "Bacterial small subunit ribosomal RNA", at positions 554 to 792 of the family's 1533-position model. Lineage: Bacteria; Pseudomonadati; Pseudomonadota. The record is from RNAcentral.
UUGGGUGUAAAGUGUGCGCAGGCGGUUGUGCAAGACCGAUGUGAAAUCCCCGAGCUUAACUUGGGAAUUGCAUUGGUGACUGCACGGCUAGAGUGUGUCAGAGGGGGUAGAAUUCCACGUGUAGCAGUGAAAUGCGUAGAGAUGUGGAGGAAUACCGAUGGCGAAGGCAGCCCCCUGGGAUAACACUGACGCUCAUGCACGAAAGCGUGGGGAGCAAAACAGGAUUAGAUACCCGGGUA